Prolemur simus (greater bamboo lemur) is the source of this 113-nucleotide small nucleolar RNA. The record is from Ensembl. Lineage: Eukaryota; Metazoa; Chordata; Mammalia; Primates; Lemuridae.
GCAGAGUCACUCUGCACCAGGUGGGUGCUCUUUCUGUUUGCCAGAGAAACAUUCCAGGGCACUGUGGCCACAUUGACCUGUUAAGGGUGAUGCAGGUGCUCUGGGACACAGAG